Molecule: regulatory RNA element, 270 nt
Organism: Cavia porcellus (domestic guinea pig)
Lineage: Eukaryota; Metazoa; Chordata; Mammalia; Rodentia; Caviidae
Rfam family: Mason-Pfizer monkey virus packaging signal
About the family: The packaging signal is located in the 5' UTR and is required for specific RNA encapsidation.
Source: Rfam
CGGUGCCCCACAUGCGACCUGAGAAUGGGGGAAUCCAUGGAGUGACGCUGUUCAUGGGCCCAAGGUAGAAAAAAGGAAAAGAAAAUAGAGGACCUGACAAUGUGGGAGCCUGCCACACUGCGCUAAACCUCAGUAAGUGAACAGUGAUUGUGGUACAAGAAAUGUGUCAACACAAGAUUUUUGUUGAAAGUUUAGGAAAAGCUUUAAAGACAAGAGGAUUAAAGGUUAACAUUAAGCAAUUGUGUCAAUUGCAGCUUAAUACAUUUUAAG